This 253-nucleotide ribosomal RNA is filed under the name uncultured bacterium. RNAcentral's name for it is "partial 16S ribosomal RNA". It matches the Rfam family "Bacterial small subunit ribosomal RNA", at positions 524 to 776 of the family's 1533-position model. The record is from RNAcentral.
UACGAAGGGGGCUAGCGUUGUUCGGAAUUACUGGGCGUAAAGGGCGCGUAGGCGGUGUGUCAAGUCAGGCGUGAAAGCCCCGGGCUCAACCUGGGAACAGCGCUUGAGACUGGCACGCUCGAGUUCGGGAGAGGAUGGUGGAAUUCCCAGUGUAGAGGUGAAAUUCGUAGAUAUUCGGAAGAACACCAGUGGCGAAGGCGACUCACUGGACGACUGUUGACGCUGAGGUGCGAAAGCGUGGGGAGCAAACAGG